UACGAAGGGGGCAAGCGUUGUUCGGAAUUACUGGGCGUAAAGGGCGCGUAGGCGGGAUGGCAAGUCGGUCGUGAAAUCCCUCGGCUCAACCGAGGAACGUCGAUCGAUACUGCUGUUCUUGAGGAUUGCAGAGGAGACUGGAAUUCCCGGUGUAGCGGUGAAAUGUGUAGAGAUCGGGAGGAACACCGGUGGCGAAGGCGGGUCUCUGGGCAAUUCCUGACGCUGAGGCGCGAAAGCGUGGGGAGCAAACGGG
RNAcentral lists this ribosomal RNA (253 nucleotides) under uncultured bacterium. RNAcentral's name for it is "partial 16S ribosomal RNA". It matches the Rfam family "Bacterial small subunit ribosomal RNA", at positions 524 to 776 of the family's 1533-position model. The record is from RNAcentral.